RNAcentral lists this unclassified non-coding RNA (339 nucleotides) under soil metagenome. Its description in RNAcentral is "partial contains 5.8S ribosomal RNA, internal transcribed spacer 2, and large subunit ribosomal RNA". The stretch from base 1 to 120 matches the Rfam family "5.8S ribosomal RNA", at positions 35 to 154 of the family's 154-position model. The record is from RNAcentral.
GAUGAAGAACGCAGCGAAAUGCGAUACGUAGUGUGAAUUGCAGAAUUCAGUGAAUCAUCGGAUCUUUGAACGCACAUUGCACCUCUCGGUAUUCCGGGAGGUAUGCCUGUUCGAGCGUCAUUUGUACCCUCAAGCUCUGCUUGGUGUUGGGUGUUUGUUCCGCCUCUGUGUGUGAACUCGCCUCAAAACAAUUGGCAGCCGGCGUACUUGUUUCGGAGCGCAGCACAUUUUGCGAUCCAGAUCAACGUACAGCGGCAUCCAAGAAGCCUUAUUUAACGCUCUUGACCUCGGAUCAGGUAGGGAUACCCGCUGAACUUAAGCAUAUCAAUAAGCGGAGGA